RNAcentral lists this ribosomal RNA (492 nucleotides) under uncultured bacterium. RNAcentral's name for it is "partial 16S ribosomal RNA". It matches the Rfam family "Bacterial small subunit ribosomal RNA", at positions 29 to 507 of the family's 1533-position model. The record is from RNAcentral.
AGUGAACGCUGGCGGUAGGCCUAACACAUGCAAGUCGAACGGCAGCACAGUAAGAGCUUGCUCUUACGGGUGGCGAGUGGCGGACGGGUGAGGAAUACAUCGGAAUCUACUUUUUCGUGGGGGAUAACGUAGGGAAACUUACGCUAAUACCGCAUACGACCUACGGGUGAAAUCAGGGGAUCUUCGGACCUUGCGCGAUUGAAUUAGCCGAUGUCGGAUUAGCUAGUUGGCGGGGUAAAGGCCCACCAAGGCGACGAUCCGUAGCUGGUCUGAGAGGAUGAUCAGCCACACUGGAACUGAGACACGGUCCAGACUCCUACGGGAGGCAGCAGUGGGGAAUAUUGGACAAUGGGCGCAAGCCUGAUCCAGCCAUACCGCGUGAGUGAAGAAGGCCUUCGGGUUGUAAAGCCCUUUUGUUGGGAAAGAAAAGCAGCAGGUUAAUACCCCGCUGUUCUGACGGUACCCAAAGAAUAAGCACCGGCUAACUUCGUG